CUAGAUUAGAGUUUGACCCUGGCUCAGGAUGAACGCUGGCGGCGUGCCUAACACAUGCAAGUCGAACGGGACCUUUUCGGAGGUUCAGUGGCGCACGGGUGCGUAACACGUAGCUCAUCUGCCCCGGAGCGCGGGAUAACGCCUCGAAAGAGGUGCUAAGACCGCAUACGCUCACCCACUGUAGAGGUGGGUGAGGAAACAACUUCGGUUGCUCUGGGAGGAGGCUGCGGCCCAUCAGGUAGUUGGGGGGGUAAGAGCUUCCCAAGCCGACGACGGGUCGGGGGUCUGAGAGGAUGACCCCCCACACUGGGACUGAGACACGGCCCAGACUCCUACGGGAGGCAGCAGUGAGGGAUAUUGCGCAAUGGGGGAAACCCUGACGCAGCGACGCCGCGUGGGCGAUGAAGGCCUUCGGGUCGUAAAGCCCUUUUCCCAUUGAGGAAGAGCGCUUCGGCGUUUUGACAGUAGAUGGGGAAGAAGUCUCGGCUAACUACGUGCCAGCAGCCGCGGUAAAACGUAGGAGGCGAGCGUUAUCCGGAGUUACUGGGCGUAAAGCGCGUGCAGGCGGUCGGAUAAGUGGCUGGUGAAAGCCCCUGGCUCAACCAGGCGAGUGCCGGUCAGACUGUUCGGCUGGAAUGUCGGAGAGGGACGCGGAAUUCCGGGUGUAGCGGUGAAAUGUGCAGAGAUCCGGAGGAACACCAGCGCCGAAAGGGGCGUCCUGGACGAUAAUUGACGCUGAGACGCGACAGCGUGGGGAGCGAACGGGAUUAGAGACCCCGGUAGUCCACGCCGUAAACGAUGCCAACUCGAUGUCGGUGCCUCGAAAGGGGUUUCGGUGUCCAAGUUAACGCGAUAAGUUGGCCGCCUGGGGAGUACGGUCGCAAGGCUAAACUCAAAGGAAUUGACGGGGCCCGCAC
This 917-nucleotide ribosomal RNA is filed under the name uncultured Chloroflexota bacterium. RNAcentral's name for it is "bacterial SSU rRNA". It matches the Rfam family "Bacterial small subunit ribosomal RNA", at positions 1 to 926 of the family's 1533-position model. The record is from RNAcentral. Lineage: Bacteria; Bacillati; Chloroflexota.